Molecule: long non-coding RNA, 920 nt
Filed under: Oryctolagus cuniculus (rabbit)
Lineage: Eukaryota; Metazoa; Chordata; Mammalia; Lagomorpha; Leporidae
Description: lncRNA (ENSOCUG00000037894.1)
Source: RNAcentral
AUGUCUCACGUGCUAGCUCGCUCCCCAAAAGCCUGCAACAGCUGGGGCUGGGUCAGGCCGAAGCUGGGACCGGGCACUGAUCCGGGCCAGCCGGCGGCGGCAGGGCCAUCACUGGUGCCUACUGGACCAGCAGCGGCACAGGCGCCAGCGUCCCCAGGGGCGUGCUCACCGCCGUGCCCAACACCUGCCCCAGAACUGAAGGCUAGGACGGAAGAGUCUAAAGUAAAAGUCCAAAAGGAAAAGUCGCCCCGGCCCAUUCUCCAGCCAUCGCAUUCUCCUUCACUCCUGCGAGUGCCUCGUCCUCCCCACGCACGGCCGUCCUCCCACGCACGUCGUGUCUCACAGCGGCCGCAGUCCCCUCCUUCACUCCUGCGAGUGCCUCGUCCUCCCACGCACGCCCGUCUCACAGCGGCCGCAGUCCCCUCCUUCACUCCUGCGAGUGCCUCGUCCUCCCACGCACGGCCGUCCUCCCACGCACGUCGUGUCUCACACGGCCGCAGUCCCCUUCCGCGUGCGCCAACGCGGCCUCCUGAGGGCUGUUCCCGCACUUUCCCGCUCUGCCCCUCUCGGCUUUCCUCGCGACCCCGCAGCUUCCCCACUCGAGCGCAUUUCCACGCGCGUUCUCACACACCACAUGGAAGUCCUUCCGGGUCGACUUCGCGCGCCCGAGGCGGCGGCCUACCACCGCGCGGCCGCAGUCCUCCCUCGAGACGGCGCUCCCCGACUGCUCCCGAAAGCCGACGGCGGGGUCAGAGGUCACGGGCGGUACCAUUUAAACAGCUUCCCCAGGCCCGACACCGCAGUUUCCCGUCAGGAGCGACGUCCUCUGCCCCGAGGGCUCUCGCUGGCCUCUGAGGACGCAGGUCCCGUCAGGCCCGGCCGCGGCCUCGGCGGCCCCGGGUCCGACACGCGCGGUUCCG